Molecule: transfer RNA, 71 nt
Filed under: Candidatus Omnitrophota bacterium
Lineage: Bacteria; Pseudomonadati; Candidatus Omnitrophota
Description: tRNA-Glu
Rfam family: tRNA
About the family: Transfer RNA (tRNA) molecules are approximately 80 nucleotides in length.
Source: RNAcentral
GUCCCCAUCGUCUAGUGGCAGGACAACAGCCUUUCGAGCUGACAACGCGGGUUCGAUUCCCGCUGGGGACA